Molecule: ribosomal RNA, 433 nt
Filed under: uncultured bacterium
Lineage: Bacteria
Description: partial 16S ribosomal RNA
Rfam family: Bacterial small subunit ribosomal RNA
Source: RNAcentral
AGCGAACGCUGGCGGCAUGCCUAACACAUGCAAGUCGAACGAACUCUUCGGAGUUAGUGGCGGACGGGUGAGUAACACGUGGUAACGUACCUUUAGGUUCGGAAUAACUCAGUGUAACUUGUGCUAAUACCGAAUGUGCCCUUCGGGGGAAAGAUUUAUCGCCUUUAGAUCGGCCCGCGUCUGAUUAGCUAGUUGGUGAGGUACAGGCUCACCAAGGAGACGUUCAGUAGCUGGUCUGAGAGGAUGAUCAGCCACAUUGGGAAUGAGACACGGCCCAAAAUCCGACGGGAGGGAGCAGUGGGGAAUCUUGCGCAAUGGGCGAAAGCCUGACGCAGCCAUGCCGCGUGAAUGAUGAAGGUCUUAGGAUUGUAAAAUUCUUUCACCGGGGACGAUAAUGACGGUACCCGGAGAAGAAGCACCGGCUAACUUCGUG